This 497-nucleotide ribosomal RNA is filed under the name uncultured bacterium. Its description in RNAcentral is "partial 16S ribosomal RNA". It matches the Rfam family "Bacterial small subunit ribosomal RNA", at positions 28 to 507 of the family's 1533-position model. The record is from RNAcentral.
GAUGAACGCUGGCGGCGUGCCUAAUACAUGCAAGUCGAGCGAACAGACGAGGAGCUUGCUCCUCUGACGUUAGCGGCGGACGGGUGAGUAACACGUGGAUAACCUACCUAUAAGACUGGGAUAACUUCGGGAAACCGGAGCUAAUACCGGAUAAUAUAUUGAACCGCAUGGUUCAAUAGUGAAAGACGGUUUUGCUGUCACUUAUAGAUGGAUCCGCGCCGCAUUAACUAGUUGGUAAGGUAACGGCUUACCAAGGCAACGAUGCGUAGACGACCUGAGAGGGUGAUCGGCCACACUGGAUCUGAGACACGGUCCAGACUCCUACGGGAGGCCGCAGUACGGAAUCUUCCGGGAUGGGCGAAAGCCUAACGGUGCAACGCCGGGUGAGUCAUGAAGGUCUUCGGAUCGUAGAACUCUGUUAUUAGGGAAGAAGAAAUGUGUAAGUACCUGUGAACGUCUUGACGGUACCUAAACAGAAAGCCACGGCUAACUACGUG